GCUUGAGACCUUGACCAGCCGCCCCGCUUGAUGGUGGGUGUGCUACUAUUACAGAUUAAUGUUCAAAUUUAUGGAUAUUCAUUAUUUUUGUUACUUUUCACCCUAUAAAUAAUUUGUUUGGUCGUAUAAGUAAAGGAGAUCUAUUUUUGAGACCAGUGAUUUGUAGAAAUCUUUAAUUAUAAAGAGGAACUUAAGUUUCAAUCAUCAUGUGAAUACAAAAAUAUCGUGAGUAUUUUUUAGUAGAAGCCGACCGAAGCAAUCUCUACCUGAUUAAUGAGGAACUUUAUUAGACAAAAUUACUGAGGUACUCAUGCAAAAUAUUAUGUGAACCAUUAGCUAAUCUACAAACUCCAAGUGAUUACCAUAUUGCACUGCCCUGUGCUUCUUAAUGGAUUUGAGAUCUAUGGAAGCCAUCCCACAACACAAAAUAUAGUAGAGGAUCAUGCUAGAAUAAGAUUUUAGUUUAGCACUGCCCAGAGUAAUUGAGGGUCUCCAUUUGUUUUUCAUUUUUUGUGGGGGGCAUAGUGGGCGACAUCCUCUCAUUAUCCAUUAAUAGGUCUGAUUUAUAAUUUCAUGCAGAUCGUACAUACUGGAGGUGAUCUAGUUGCUCAAUGGAGCCGGCUGGUGCCCAAUGCCGAAGUGCCACUGGUUGGAGGAAGUUGACCUCAAAGUGUUGUUCACUGGAGGAAGAUGAUGUACAAGGUUGUUCGGAUGCCGAGAGAUUUUAUAUAUGCAUGCGACCAUGAGAUUUUGGUCCUAUCUAGAGAUAUUCUGUUUGGAGAUAUCGAAUAUCUGCAAAUUUCUGAGAGUUUAGAUUUGUUUGGAGAGAUGGCAUCAUUGUACAGUUUUUUGUGGGAAGGAUCUUCAGAGUUUGGUCAUGUUUCUUACCCUGUACGCCCCAUUUUUUAUUAUAUGGGAUGGUCUGACCGCUCGUGGGAUGGUGCGGCCUGUUUUUUCAGUUAAUGGUCCAGUCUAUCAUGAGUUUGUGUACAGGUCCAACCUGUUAUGGUCUCACGUCCGAGAAAU
RNAcentral lists this long non-coding RNA (1026 nucleotides) under Triticum aestivum (bread wheat). Its description in RNAcentral is "long non-coding RNA (TAES_LNC016338)". The record is from RNAcentral. Lineage: Eukaryota; Viridiplantae; Streptophyta; Magnoliopsida; Poales; Poaceae.